Long non-coding RNA from Leptidea sinapis, 1371 nucleotides. RefSeq lists it as uncharacterized. The transcript is spliced from 5 exons. The record is from RefSeq and is a predicted model, not a curated record. Lineage: Eukaryota; Metazoa; Arthropoda; Insecta; Lepidoptera; Pieridae.
UUCCGCUAGGCUGGUUACGGGUUGCUCUUUUGGCUGUGUUUUAUUUUUAAUUUUUAUUUGUUGUGUUUUCAUUUCUCAAUUCAUACUAUUUGAAUAAUUUAGAGGUUUGAUUAUAUCAUAAUUAUUUAACGUAUUAAGAGUAAGGGCAACGGAAAAGAGUUUGUUUACAAGUAAUGUGUAAAUUAAUAACAUCUUAUUUACCGACGUUUUAAGGCUUCAAACGAUUGGCUUAAUAUGUUGGCAUGAGAAUAUUCGAAGAAGUCUGAACUGAACUACUUAUCUAUUUUUAAUAUUUAUAACAACAAUGGUUCCAUUGUAAAAGCAUCCGAUUCUGUUCCUGGGCACUUUAAUAUUACAAAGGAGAGAUGACAAGUUGUGCAAUAAAAUGUUGCCGGAAUUAUGGUAAUUCUAUUGGAAAUGAAAAAAAGGUCACCUUUCACCAAGUUCCUUCCGAUCAAGCUAUGAGAAAUCGUUGGAUAACAAUAAUACGCAGCAGUCGUGAGGAACAAAAAUGGAAACCAUCGGCAAGAACCUGUAUAUGUUCUGAGCAUUUCCGUGACAGUGAUUUCUAUCGUGUCACUGCGACAGGUCGUCGUAGACUAAAAAAAUCUGUUAUCCCAACUCAGGCAUUAUUUUUUGCAUCUCUCAAACAUGACGGCGAAGAGUCGGAUGGAAGUGAGAAAGAUUCUGAUCCCUCUUCGGAAAAUAAUUCGAGUGACUUGAUGCCCAUCUCUCACACCGGUCCAAGUUUGUUUGUUACAGUAACAAGUUGUAAUGGAGAAGAAGAAACGGAUACAAUUGAAAAUGAAAAAUGUUCAGACGAUUCAGAUGAUAGUAGCACGGACAUUACCAUUGAGGAGAUACACUUUGAAGAUGAUUCGUCAGAUCUUGAUUCUGUUUACGAUACGCCAAAAGAAUCAAAAUUGCGAAGAGAAUUAAGAAGGAAAAUUGCACGCCAUCGAAAGCAUCUUAUUAAAAUAGAAAAACUCCAAAGAAAACACACGCGAGUGAAAACAAGAGUAUGUGAGUUAGAAAGCAUGAUUAAGGAAUUGAAAAAGAAGAAAAAGUAGAUAUUCUUGUGAUUGUGUGAUAGAUGUCAGUGUAGAAAAAAUAUACAUGAAACGAAUGCAAAACGACCAAAAAUAAUUCAUAAAUCUAUAUGAAUACAUGCCCAGAUGGUUAUUUUUUCUCUCUUUUCAGAUUGUCUGUUACUGAAUUGACUCCGGUACUAAUUAUUUUUGAGAGUUCGCUUCCGCUUAUUCUCUCUCAGAGUCCGAUUUGUUUCCGAAGCAGUAGUAGUAUAUAUUAGAAACGACAUCAAAAAGAAUUCUAAAGGAAUCAAUUUUGAGAAAAUAAAUGCCUUUAUGCCUA